GGGGCUGCAGAUCAAGCGGGUGUGGAUCGAGGAGGACCGAGAUCUGACAAGGAGCCAGUGCGGCUCGACUAUCAGAGAAGGUCAGGGGUUCGAAUCCCCUCAGCUCCACCA
Molecule: transfer RNA, 111 nt
Filed under: Nocardioides sp.
Lineage: Bacteria; Bacillati; Actinomycetota; Actinomycetes; Propionibacteriales; Nocardioidaceae
Description: tRNA-OTHER
Source: RNAcentral